AGUGAACGCUGGCGGUAUGCCUAACACAUGCAAGUCGAACGGCAGCACAGUAAGAGCUUGCUCUUACGGGUGGCGAGUGGCGGACGGGUGAGGAAUACAUCGGCAUCUACUUUUUCGUGGGGGAUAACGUAGGGAAACUUACGCUAAUACCGCAUACGACCUACGGGUGAAAGCAGGGGAUCUUCGGACCUUGCGCGAUUGAAUGAGCCGAUGCCGGAUUAGCUAGUUGGCUGGGUAAAGGCCCACCAAGGCGACGAUCCGUAGCUGGUCUGAGAGGAUGAUCAGCCACACUGGAACUGAGACACGGUCCAGACUCCUACGGGAGGCAGCAGUAGGGAAUAUUCGACAAUGGGCGAAAGCCUGACCCAGCCAUACCGCGUGAGUGAAGAAGGUCUUCGGAUUGUAAAGCUCUUUUAUUAGGAAAGAAAAUAUGCAGAUUAAUCCCCCGCUGUCCUGACGGUACCCAAACAGAAAGCACCGGCUAACUUCGUG
This 492-nucleotide ribosomal RNA is filed under the name uncultured bacterium. RNAcentral describes it as "partial 16S ribosomal RNA". It matches the Rfam family "Bacterial small subunit ribosomal RNA", at positions 29 to 507 of the family's 1533-position model. The record is from RNAcentral.